ACGGGAGGCAGCAGUGGGGAAUAUUGCACAAUGGGCGAAAGCCUGAUGCAGCAACGCCGCGUGAAGGAUGAAGGUCUUCGGAUCGUAAACUUCAAAACCUAGGGAAGAAGAUCUGACGGUACCUAGGGUUAAGCCCCGGCUAACUACGUGCCAGCAGCCGCGGUAAUACGUAGGGGGCGAGCGUUAUCCGGAAUUAUUGGGCGUAAAGAGUGCGUAGGUGGUUACCUAAGCAGGGGGUGAAAGGCACUGGCUUAACCAAUGUCAGCCCCCUGAACUGGGCUACUUGAGUGCAGGAGAGGAAAGCGGAAUUCCUAGUGUAGCGGUGAAAUGCGUAGAUAUUAGGAGGAACACCAGUGGCGAAGGCGGCUUUCUGGACUGUUACUGACACUGAGGCACGAAAGUGUGGGGAGCAAACAGGAUUAGAUACCCUGGUA
RNAcentral lists this ribosomal RNA (434 nucleotides) under uncultured bacterium. Its description in RNAcentral is "partial 16S ribosomal RNA". It matches the Rfam family "Bacterial small subunit ribosomal RNA", at positions 341 to 792 of the family's 1533-position model. RNAcentral also lists the same sequence under 1 other name. The record is from RNAcentral.